Long non-coding RNA from Vicia villosa (hairy vetch), 2732 nucleotides. RefSeq lists it as uncharacterized. The transcript is spliced from 5 exons. The record is from RefSeq and is a predicted model, not a curated record. Lineage: Eukaryota; Viridiplantae; Streptophyta; Magnoliopsida; Fabales; Fabaceae.
UUAUUUUUGAUAUUAAUAAGAAAUUGUGAAAAAUUAACGGAGGCUUUCUCCUCCUCUCUCUCUCUCUCUCUGUCUCCACCGUUAGCUUUUUCCUCGGAAACCCUAAGUUAUCUUCACUGUUACAGAGCCGCUCGCUGUGACACCAAAUCGUCGUUCAAAGGUUCUUACUCUCCAAUUCAAGAGCUUCCUAUUCAGCCGAAAAAUCGGAGGUAGUGAAAUUGAAGGCAGUGGCGGCGGAGAUGACAGUUUUUCGUUCUCUGAUUGGCCGCAAGUAUCGUCUCGUGUUGGGUAACGAUCGUGAUGUACUUCAGAUGUCUUCCAUAGAUCCAGGAUCUUCUUCUUCCUCAGCGUUUCCAGAUCAACCUCAUAAUCUCAGGUAUUUAUGCUCUUCGAUCUGUAUGAUUUCAGUUAUUUUGAUUCGUUUUUGGUGAUCUGAGAUUAGAUGAAUGUGAAAGAAUUUCAAUGAAGCUGGUGCUGCUUUUGAUAGGAAGUGAAUUACUGUGUUUUUGCGGAGGGAUUGAAGUUGUAGUAGUGAUUUGAUGUUUUUUCUUUUUUGGAUAUUCUGAAGACUCUAUUUUCUUUAGUGUUUAUGAAGGAAUUGAAACUAGUAAGUAAUCCAAUGUUUUUGGUGUGAAGAAUGGCUUCUUUUGACUAGUGUUCAUGUUGUUUAUCAAGGUUCUAAAAAUUGCAAUAACUGCUUAUUGUUAGCUUAAUUUUAUGCUGGAAUUACAGGGGUGGCUUUUGGUUCUGUUUAUUACCAUUUAAAACCUGAUAACAAUAGGUCUUGUGGGACACUUUACCGGUUGGUUAGCAUUACCAUUACAACAUACAUCUAUAUAUGAACGGAUUGGGUUUUGUUGUAUGUGUACCCUCCUUGUUGCAGCCUUUACCAGUGUAGUUUAUGAACGGUUGGUACUCUUUUUUCCUCCUCUAAAUAAUAGUCUCAUGCUUAUUCUCUCCUAAAUUGUAUAUACUUUGAAGUGUUGAAGUUGCAGCUAACUUUUAUGCUGAAUCAUGAUAUGUUAGUUAGUUGGUUGCAGAGUUUACUGGGAUAUUCGGCUCUGCUUGAUGUUCCAGUUAAUGCUUCCUUUAGCUAUUGCAGUAGUAGCAUUUUUGUAUCCCUCCAACUAUACUCACUCAAGAUAUUGGUUUUCAUCAAUAGAUUAGAAGAUGUUAAAGAUCAGCUUGAAGAGUUGGAGAAAAGAGUUGAAAUUUCCGAAGGUGGUAAAAUUGUUAACAUAACUUCAUGAGCUCAGAAAUUUCAAGAGGUGUCAGGCUUCGUUUCUUUUGAAUUCUGUAGCCAGGAGAUUUGGAAAAGGUACAGCUUGGUCUCUGCCACAGUUACAGCAGAACAAAAGUGUCUCGUUCCCAGACGCACUUCGCCUCAGCAAUUCCUCUGACCCGUCGAAAUAUGUUGCGUACGCGCAGCAGCAGAAUGAUUGUUUUCGUUCUGAGUAUUCUUCUCUUGCUAAAGACUGUGAUGAUCAUAUUGAUACUCAUCAUUUGUUAAUUGGGAAUUCUGGUGGCCAAACUUUCCUAUCUUGGUUUACUUCAAGGAAACACAAACAAUUCCUGAAGGACAAAUUCAUUUCUUCACGGAAAAAUCCAUCAAAGGCUUUUGUCCAUUGCAGAGGAAACUUUAGCAGAGUUUCUUUCAAAGGCUACUGGAACUGCUGUUGAGUGAGUCCAAAUGCCUGGAGUGAAGGAAAAUUUACAAGGAAUGAGCUUAAGGAUCAAAGCUAGAAUUUUGGGGGGCUACUAGCAUAAAGAUGAACCUGCCUCUCCCAAUUCAGUGCCUAGGCACUAAACUUUUAUAUUAUGGUUAUUUUAAUGUAUAAUUUAUAAUGUUAAAAAUUUAAUAAUUUUUUUUAAUUUGAGAUAAAAUUACUUGCAGAUUUAGCUGCGGAAUUACCUGCGGAACUUCCUGCCGAAAAUAUUACCCACGAAGGUUUUAGCUGGGGACAUGAAACCGCAGGAAAAUCCGCAGGAAAUAUGUUUCCUGCGGAUAAUUAGCCGAAAUCCGCAGGUAAAUCCGCAGGAAAACAGAGUAUUUCUAGUAGUGUGUCAUGAUUAGAUAUGAUAUAAUACAACAUUGUACUUAACUAGAUAAAUGAAAAAGACACCAUGCAAAUCACACCACUUUAUUCCUGUACUAAAAUUUUGGAAUAAAAACAAGAGCAUUGCCACCCGCAACAUGUGUUCUUUUCAUUCACUUUAUUCCGCAAAAUCCUAAUAAAAAAUGCUUGGAAUCUGAUGUAAGCAUUAAUUGGAAAGAAAAUUAAUAAUAAAUAAAAGGCUUAAGCUAUGGUCAUUCUUUGGAGAAAUAAAAGGUAGCAUAUUUGAUAAGGUUUAUAUAUAUUAGUUAACAGAAUACAAAACCUUAUUAUAGUAAGUGAGAUCAGCAACAUAAAUCAACUUUCGUCAUAAUUUUUUAUUCAGAAUCAAGUUUAUAUGAGUGAAUAAAUAAAGAAAAUAUUUUAUUUGAAAAGGUUGGAUUAUGAUUAUCGUAAAGUACCAAAUUAUCAAAUCCUUACACAAUAUUUAGACCAACCAACUCCACCAUCAAGCAACAUUAUUACCAGUAGAAAUUGCAAACAAUGAAUUUGACUUCACAGAUAUUUAUUGGUGAUAAGAAAGAGAUAAUCUGCAUUCCAAGGCUUAGAGACAAUAUUGUUUUAAACCUCAGGAUCAAGGUUGUCAAGAUCGAGAUCUUACCUAAGAUCGGGAGAGAA